AAGAAGUUAAUUUAAUAAAAAAUAUUUAAUUGUCAAAUAAAAAAUACAAUAAUUAUUGUACUUCUUG
RNAcentral lists this transfer RNA (67 nucleotides) under Augilina triaina. RNAcentral describes it as "tRNA-Asp". Lineage: Eukaryota; Metazoa; Arthropoda; Insecta; Hemiptera; Caliscelidae. The record is from RNAcentral.